Molecule: long non-coding RNA, 1819 nt
Filed under: Homo sapiens (human)
Lineage: Eukaryota; Metazoa; Chordata; Mammalia; Primates; Hominidae
Description: HSALNT0361253
Source: RNAcentral
GGUUGGAGAAUGUGACAGAGGACAAGAAUAGAAUACAGUUAUAGAACUGGAAUUCGCUUUUUCAUGCUAAUUUCCCUGGUAAUGAAGGGCAGUGACUCAGAAAAGGAAAGGCAAGCCUCUGGCAGCAAGGCUGUGUGUAGAUUCGUCUAUACCAAGGGAAGGAUGGUGGGGAGGCAGGGAGGAGACAAAAGAAAAGAAUUUCGAAUUCCAGGAUUGGCCAAAUAUGAAGAUGAUCUCAGUCUGGCCAAGUCCAGGACCUUCUCUUUCCCUCACCUAUCGCCUGAGCCCAGAAAUACGUUCCAGAGGACAAGGACUGUGUUGUUCAUCACAGUAUUCCAGAACUUAAAAGGAACUGGCACAUAAUUGGAGCUUACUAAUAUUCGUCAAAAAAAUGAACAAAUGAGGCAAUGACAGUGGUCUUGUGAAGCUGCUGCUAUUUACAGGGACUCACUCAUUCCGCAAGUAUUUUUUGCACCUCCUACCACACUCCACUCAGUUACAUGCUGGGAAUACCACAGUAAAGUCCUCAAUCUCCCUGUAGGAAGCUUGGGGAAUGUGCCUCCUGCCCUCUUCUGGACUAGUCAGCAUGCUCACCAAGCACACUAAAGCCACCCAAGUCACAGCUGACUCAUGCCAUUGCUCUUUGUAAUGAGAAGAGCUGUUUAUCCCUCUUCUCAUUUCUGCCCCGCUCUGAGCCCUGAGUUUUAGUGCCAGUGCUUUUACACAAAUCCAGCUUUACAUCUUGAGUGAAAUAUAAUUUCAUAGGAAUGUAAUUCUGGAAUGAUCUCAUUGAAAAAGCACAUCCAGCAAAGGCCAUGAGCAGACUUCAGGCCAGCCCAUUCACACCCAGAGCCAAGAAGACUGCAGACCCCUUUCCCUUAAAUGGAGAAUGUGCCUGGGACCCAAAGCAAAGCACACCAGCUACCUAGGGAUAUUCUCCUGCCUACAGCCAGCCAGCCUGCCUGCCUGCAGACCACGGCCAGGGCCCACAGCAGCGACCACCAUGAGCCACUCUGGCACCAUACAAGGACAGACUCGAGGGCAUCCAAGCAAACAGGCCUCACCCCAGAGACGCUGCCUCUGACCCUCGGGAGGGCUCUGGCUCCAUGCCAUCAAACAUGAGCUGAAAAUAUUAACACUCCCCUGUCAUAGCCCCAUCAGAGACAGAAGAGUAUCCAGAAGCCCAGCUGCUAAAGAUCCUCCCCACACCUACCUGCCUUCCUAACUCUCGGAAACCCAAUUACCAUCUGACCCUAUUGAGACAGAGUCAGAAAGUGGGGCAUUUGACUCUGAAACUAGAUGUCAAAGCCAGGCCCAGCCCAGUCCAGCAGAGCUGAGGCAGAGCAGAACUGGGGAAGAAAUAAUGUAGUCUGAUGGACGCUCAAAAAAUCCUACUGAAAAAAAUUACCAAGUUGGAAUCUCUGGAAAAAAUGUCCUCAUUCCAAAUCUGUUCCCCACCCCCAAUGAAUUCUCAUAAAAUGGACCAGAAAAGGAGGAAAAAAAAAAUUAAUGGCUUGCAGGGUCUAUGGGAACUCUCUGUCUCUCUGUACUAUCUUUGCAACUGUUCUGUAAAUCUGAAACUAUUCUAAAAUGUAACAUUUAUAAAAAAUAAUGGCUUAUCACAGUUUCCUCUGUAAGAAACAAUGGGAAAAGGGUGAUCUUUGGGUAUGAAACUCUGCCUCUACCAGCUAUGAAGCUUUGGAUGUGUUGCCUACCCUCUGUAAGCUUCAGUUUUCUCAUCUGUAAAAUGGAGAGAACAGUUCCAACCACGAAGUGCUGUUGUACAGAUUGAGUAAGAUAGUGCAUGCAAAGGACUUAC